GAGGCUCCUUCUGGUGCAUCCCAUUGACAGAACUUAAUAGAAAGUAAGAAGGCAAGGUAGCCAGGAGGAUGACAUCAUAGAGGGGUCCCCAAGAACACAGUGCAGAGAAUGCAAAAGGGUGAGGUGGAAAAUGAGGCUAACAAGUGCGGUGGAUAAGGCUGGAUAGAAGAGUGUCAUGAAUAAUCCAGCCCCCUUUUGGACAUUGUUCUGAAGAGAUAAGCUUACCUGGUCAGGACACAAUGCAAGUGAACCGAGACUCUUCUCUUUGGCUUUACAUGAAGAUUAUGGGAAAAAGCCAGUUCCAAAAAGAUGAUGAUAUUCUUCAGUGGUAUAUUACAGAAGAAAUAUUGCAAUCUUCAUUCAUUGCAAGAAUCCUACGGGGGAAGGAGUAUGGAGGAAAGAGAUAAUUUGAAAGUAUUGUUAAGUGGUACAAAGGAAAUAAAUUCAGUUGGAAUUGGUUCAGCUCAGCACUAAUCAGGCUGCUUGGGGUGCUUCCUCAGUGACAGAGAAGAUUGCCCAGGGAACAAAUCCUCAUCACAAUGCUGGUAGGUGAAAAGCAUUUCCAUGCUACAAAGCUGCCACUGAAAUAUUUACUGGUCAAGGGAAGCAACUUAUCUAAUACUACAUUCUAGCAAGAGAUCAGUUUUUCUAUUGUAGAAAACAAGCACUAAAUUGCUCAGUUACUCUAUGGUUAGUUAAGCAUCUAGCAUUAGUUUUGAAUAAGUUGAUCAGAGCUCAUUUAUUUCUUCAAGUGAGUUGAUUCAAAUACUAGAAUAUGUCUGAUAGUACCAAUGGCUGAGACAAUAUUUGGGUGGCAGAGAGUUAUAUCUAUUUAUAUCUCUGUCUAUAGAUAACUAUGUUACUAGGUAGAUCUAUAUGUCUACAAGAGUCAUUACUGACUAUUAGGCAUGCUUUUUCUGAGGAUAAAAAAGGUAAAUAAAAACACAAACCAAAGCCA
This 958-nucleotide long non-coding RNA is filed under the name Felis catus (domestic cat). RNAcentral's name for it is "lncRNA (ENSFCAG00000042554.2)". Lineage: Eukaryota; Metazoa; Chordata; Mammalia; Carnivora; Felidae. The record is from RNAcentral.